This 405-nucleotide ribosomal RNA is filed under the name uncultured Acinetobacter sp. RNAcentral's name for it is "bacterial SSU rRNA". It matches the Rfam family "Bacterial small subunit ribosomal RNA", at positions 333 to 729 of the family's 1533-position model. The record is from RNAcentral. Lineage: Bacteria; Pseudomonadati; Pseudomonadota; Gammaproteobacteria; Moraxellales; Moraxellaceae.
UUUUUCCUACGGGAGGCAGCAGUGGGGAAUAUUGGACAAUGGGGGGAACCCUGAUCCAGCCAUGCCGCGUGUGUGAAGAAGGCCUUAUGGUUGUAAAGCACUUUAAGCGAGGAGGAGGCUACUUUAGUUAAUACCUAGAGAUAGUGGACGUUACUCGCAGAAUAAGCACCGGCUAACUCUGUGCCAGCAGCCGCGGUAAUACAGAGGGUGCGAGCGUUAAUCGGAUUUACUGGGCGUAAAGCGUGCGUAGGCGGCUUAUUAAGUCGGAUGUGAAAUCCCCGAGCUUAACUUGGGAAUUGCAUUCGAUACUGGUGAGCUAGAGUAUGGGAGAGGAUGGUAGAAUUCCAGGUGUAGCGGUGAAAUGCGUAGAGAUCUGGAGGAAUACCGAUGGCGAAGGCAGCCAUC